RNAcentral lists this ribosomal RNA (140 nucleotides) under uncultured bacterium. Its description in RNAcentral is "partial 16S ribosomal RNA". It matches the Rfam family "Bacterial small subunit ribosomal RNA", at positions 355 to 509 of the family's 1533-position model. The record is from RNAcentral.
UGGGGAAGUAUUGCACAAUGGGGGGAAACCCGUGAUGCAGCGACGCCGCGUGAAGGAAGAAGUAUCUCGGUAUGUAAACUUCUAUCAGCAGGGAAGAUAGUGACGGUACCUGACUAAGAAGCCCCGGCUAACUACGUGCC